CGCCUUUUGAUAUAAAUAUAAAAGGUCCAGCCUGCCCAGUGACAUUGUUCAACGGCCGCGGUAUCCUAACCGUGCGAAGGUAGCGUAAUCACUUGUUCUUUAAAUGAGGACUAGUAUGAAUGGCACCACGAGGGUUAUACUGUCUCCUUUCUCUAAUCAGUGAAACUAAUCCCCCCGUGAAGAAGCGAGGAUAAAUUUAUAAGACGAGAAGACCCUAUGGAGCUUUAAACUAAAUAACAAUUGCUACUUUAUAAUACCUAUUUUCAGAAAAUUAAACUCUUAUACUAGCAUAAUGAUUAUUAGUUUUAGGUUGGGGUGACCGCGGAGUAAAAAACAACCUCCACAUUGAAAGGACUAACUUCCUAAACUUAGAGCUACAUCUCCAAGUAUCAAAAAAUUGACACUAAUUGACCCAAUUUAUUGAUCAACGAACCAAGUUACCCUAGGGAUAACAGCGCAAUCUACUUCAAGAGCCCCUAUCGACAAGUAGGUUUACGACCUCGAUGUUGGAUCAGGGUAUCCUAGUGGUGCAGCCGCUACUAAAGGUUCGUUUGUUCAACGAUUAAAACCCU
Molecule: ribosomal RNA, 572 nt
Filed under: Melanophryniscus atroluteus
Lineage: Eukaryota; Metazoa; Chordata; Amphibia; Anura; Bufonidae
Description: partial large subunit ribosomal RNA
Rfam family: Bacterial large subunit ribosomal RNA
Source: RNAcentral